RNAcentral lists this long non-coding RNA (521 nucleotides) under Trifolium pratense (red clover). RNAcentral describes it as "long non-coding RNA (TPRA_LNC003744)". Lineage: Eukaryota; Viridiplantae; Streptophyta; Magnoliopsida; Fabales; Fabaceae. The record is from RNAcentral.
GAUCAGUGCAUUUUGGCACAUAUUUUCUAGUAUUAUAAUUUAGCAUAUUAGUAGUCUUUCUACAAUAAUAUUGAGUUUUUAUUAUGUUUCUAAGUUUUGGGUCACAAUUGAGCCUUAAUGAAUUUAUUUGACCAAUUUUCGUAUUUAAUGACAUAUUGACACCUUCUCAUUGCGCAGACCAUAACUUGAGCUACGUAUAUCGGAUUGAGGUGCGGGAAGAUGUGUUGGAAAGCUAAGAUAAAGAGCUACAACUUUCAUGUUGAUGUCGAAAUCCAGUUCAGAGCGAAAAGGAGUCGUUUAUUCACAUUUAUGUUCCAGACUUAGUGAUAAUAAUGUAAUUUCGGGCCAAACUUCUAAUUUUCGGCCCGAUACUUUUAGAGCCUGUUUCCCAUGUAUUAUAAAAGUCAAAAAACGCAGCCUAGGGUUCAUAAUUCUGAAUUCACGCAAAAAUAGAGGCUGCUACAUUCUCAUGGAAAACUAGCAACCCUAGGUUGAUCCGUUGGUAUACGGGAACAUCGUUC